Molecule: long non-coding RNA, 746 nt
Organism: Octopus sinensis (East Asian common octopus)
Lineage: Eukaryota; Metazoa; Mollusca; Cephalopoda; Octopoda; Octopodidae
Exons: 2
Source: RefSeq, a predicted model, not a curated record
UUAUAUUUUAUAAUUUAAAUUAUAUUUUAUAUUUUAAAUUAAAUUAAUUAAACUGUCAUCUAGGUUUUUAAUAAAUGAUACCAUCAUCUUUCAAACUUUAAAUUGAUUAUACUGCCAUCAACCAUUUAAUUAUGCCAUCAUCAUCCAAUCUUUAAAUUAAUUACACCUUCAUCAUAUGGACUUUAAAUUAAUUAUUCUGUCAUCAACCAGACUUUGAUCUAAUUAUACCAUCAUCAACCAGAUUUUAAUAUAAUUAUACUGUCAUCAUCUAGGUUUUAAAUAAAUUACACUGUCAUCAUCCAAACUUUGAACUAAUUAUACUGUCAUUGUUUAUAUCUUAAAUUAAUUACACUGUCAAUAUCCAGGUUUUAAAUAAAUUAUACUGUCAUCAUCCAGACUUUGAACUAAUUCUACCAUCAUUGUACAGAUUUUGAUAUAAUUAUACUGUCAUCAUCUAGGUUUUAAAUAAUUAUUCCUUCAUUUGGAUAACUAGUCAUUAACUACCUUUGCGAAAUUCAUGAGUUUAGAUAUAAUUGUAUACCAUGAAGAGAAGAAUUUGAGAUUCCAAAACUAACCCUUUGUCUCCAAGAAGAAGAAUCAGGCCUUAAAUAUAACAGCUUCUUUUCCUCAUGGCAUAUACAAACCAGACCAAAUAUACACACUUUCAGUGUAAUUUUUGCUGAUAACCACCACCAGUCUUUUAGAUUCUGUUUUUAUAACCUGUUAAAAAUACCAUGUACACUUAA